This 1950-nucleotide long non-coding RNA is filed under the name Phasianus colchicus (ring-necked pheasant). Its description in RNAcentral is "lncRNA (ENSPCLG00000004238.1)". The record is from RNAcentral. Lineage: Eukaryota; Metazoa; Chordata; Aves; Galliformes; Phasianidae.
GGGCGAGUUUCUAACUCUGGCUCCAUCUUGUGCAAAUUCCCAUCUGCAAGGCAGGUGGGAAGGAAUGAAGGAGCAGCCAAGUGCCCUAUUUCUUUGUACUGCCCUCCCCUGCGUGGCCCUGCUCACCUGCUUGCUCAUGUGGCUGCCAUUUCCCUCGUCGUGUGUUGAAAACUUCAGGUCCAAUGCCAGCACCUGCAGGAAGGUGCCCAUCUGCAAGGCAGAUGGGAAGGAAUGAAGGAGCAGCCAUGUGCCCUGCUUCUCUGUACUGCCCUCCCCUGCGUGGCUCUCCUCAACUGCUUGCUCAUGUGGCUGCCAUUUCCCUCGGCGUGUGUUGAAAACUUCAGGUCCAAUGCCAGCACCUGCAGUAAGGCAAGAAAAUCAUCCAAGUGGUAUGAAACGGUGGGUUGAGGUCAGGCACAUCUCGGGGAUCUAGCAGGGUCCCUUAAGAACGAGAAUUGUUACAGGUUUUUUCUGACAUAUCUUUUCUGUGUGGAGCAUGGAGACCUCUCAAAGGGCUGAGGAUAGGCGUGUGUCUAACUCUGGCUCCAUGUUGUGCAGGUGACCAUCUCCAAGGCAGAUGCGAGGGAAUGAAAGAGCAGCCAAGUGCCCUGCAUCCCUGUGCUGCCCUCGCCUGCGUGGCCCUGCUCACCUGCUUCUCAUGUGCCAGCCAUUUCCCUCGGCGUGUGUUGAAAACUUCAGGUCCAAUGCCAGCACCUGCAGGACGGCAAGAGGAUGAACAGUGUGAUGCCCAUCUGCAAGGCAGAUGGGAAGGAAUGAAGGAGCAGCCAAGUGCCCUGCAUCCCUGUGCUGCCCUCGCCUGCGUGGCCGUUCUCACCUGCUUGCUCAUGUGGCUGCCAUUUCCCUCGGAGUGUGUUGAAAACUUCAGGUCCAGCGCCAGCACCUGCAUCAACGCAAGAGGAUCAGCAAUGUGGUAUGAAACGGUGGGGUGAGGGCAGGGGCAUCUCGGGGAUCUAGCAGGGUCCCUUAAGAACAAGAAUUGUUAUUGGUAUUGUCUGACAUAUCUUUUCUGUGUGGAGCAUGGAGACCUCACAAAGGGCUGAGGAUAGGCGUGUUUCUAACUAUGGCUCCAUCUCGUGCAGGUGCCCAUCUACAAGGCAGAUGGGAAGGAAUGAAGGAGCAGCCAAGUGCCCUGCUUCUUUCUAUUGCCCUCCCCUGCGUUGCCCUGCUCACCUGCUUGCUCAUGGGCCAGCCAUUUCCCUCGGCGUGUUUUGAAAAUUUCAGGUCCAAUGCCAGCACCUGCAGGAAGGCAAGAAAAUCUGUCAAGAGGUAUGAAACGGUGGGGUGAGGGCAGGUGUAUCUCGGGGAUUUAGCACGGUCCCUUAAGAACAAGAAUUGUAACAGGUUUUGUCUGACAUAUCUUUUCUGUGUGGAGCAUGGAGACCUCUCAAAGGGUUGAGCAUAGGCGUGUUUCCUUCUUAUUCAGGAUCUGUCUCUGAAGAUGCCCAUCUGCAAGGCAGAUGGGAAGGAAUGAAGGAGCAGCCAAGUGCCCUGCAUCCCUGUGCUGCCCUCCCUUGCAUAGCCCUGUUCACCUCCUUGCUCAUGGGCCAGCCAUUUCCCUAGGCGUGUAUUGAAAACUUCAGGUCCAAUGCCAGCACCUGCAGUAAGGCAAGAGGAUCAGCAAUGUGGUAUGAAACUGUGGGGUGAGGGCAGGUGUAUCUCGGGGAUCUGGCAGGGUCCCUUAAGAAAUAGAAUUGUUACUGCUUUUUUCUGACAUAUCUUUUCUGUGUGGAGUAUGGAGACCUCUCAAAGGGUUGAGCAUAGCCGUGUUUUCUACUUAUUCAGGAUCUGUCUCUGAAGAUGCCCAUCUGCAAGGCAGAUGGGAAGGAAUGAAGGAGCAGCCAUGUGCCCUGCUUCUCUGUAUUGCCCUCCCCUGCGUGGCCCUGCUCACCUGCUUGCUCAUGGGGCUGCCAUUUCCCUCGGCAUGUGUUA